UCAAAUGACUACAUACUUAGG
RNAcentral lists this non-coding RNA (21 nucleotides) under Arabidopsis thaliana (thale cress). Lineage: Eukaryota; Viridiplantae; Streptophyta; Magnoliopsida; Brassicales; Brassicaceae. The record is from RNAcentral.